CUCGAAAGAGUGACGGCGUACCUUUUGUAUAAUGGGUCAGCGACUUACGUUCAGUUGCGAGCUUAACCGAAUAGGGUAGGCGUAGGGAAACCGAGUCUGAUAAGGGCGUUUAGUAGCUGGGCGUAGACCCGAAACCGGAUGAUCUAGUCAUGGCCAGGAUGAAGGUGGGGUAACACCUACUGGAGGUCCGAACCGACUGUUGUUGCAAAAACAGCGGAUGAGUUGUGACUAGGGGUGAAAGGCUAAACAAAUCCGGAGAUAGCUGGUUCUCCUCGAAAACUAUUGAGGUAGUGCCUCGUGUAUAUCCACUGGGGGUAGAGCACUGUAAUGGCUAGGGGGACAUGUAGUCUUACCAAACCAUAGCAAACUCCGAAUACCAGUGAGAGUGAGCACGGGAGACAGUCCUCGGGUGCUAACGUCCGAGGGCAAGAGGGAAACAACCCAGACCGCCAGCUAAGGUCCCC
Molecule: ribosomal RNA, 464 nt
Filed under: uncultured bacterium
Lineage: Bacteria
Description: bacterial LSU rRNA
Rfam family: Bacterial large subunit ribosomal RNA
Source: RNAcentral